This 611-nucleotide long non-coding RNA is filed under the name Homo sapiens (human). RNAcentral describes it as "HSALNT0393339". Lineage: Eukaryota; Metazoa; Chordata; Mammalia; Primates; Hominidae. The record is from RNAcentral.
CUCACUGGUUCUGUGACCCUGGGCAGGUCACCACAGCUGUCUCUGUUUACCCAUAUGUAAAAUGAGGUUAAAUUAGAUCAUCUUCAUUGUUCCUUGCAGACGCAUAAGAUCAGGCAGAAGUGAUGUCAGACUCCAAAUAUGACAUGAUUACUUCUGGGACCUCAGGGAGAGUAUUUAACUUAUCAGAGUCCCAAUUUCCUUACCUAAAAGAUGGGAGCAAUUGUGCCCAUAUCUAGGGCUGCUGAAAAACAAGAAAGAAGAUGUACAUGAAGUUCUGUACUUGGCACAUUAUGUUGUUCAACAAAAGAACGUUAGCUCCAUGGGAGCAGGAGCUUUGUUUAAUUUACCUUGUAUCUCAGCACCUAGAAGAAUGCCUGGUACAUGGCAGACAUUCAGACAUAUGUAUACCCAAGGACAUAUACCAAACAGAAUAGUGUUAUAUCUCUGGGGCAGAAAGAAAUGAGGAUGAAAGAAGAAAGAGAAAAAUUAUCAACGAACACCGAAGCAGCUCUUACAAGGAAUGAUGAACUGAAGAUGAUGCUAUGAAAACUUAAUGCUUUGUUCCUGAGAGGCAGUGAAUAAAUACCAAAUGAAUAAAAGCACAAAGUCAC